UGAUACAUAAUCAUGUUCAUGAUUUGUGCUGUCUUGCUUUGCAGAUUACAGAAUAUUGCUGAAGGAUCCUACAUAAGGCUGGCUGAUUACACGGAGUGAUUCCUCUGGUGUGGUGUACCUCAGAGAAAUAAACACUGUUGCAAGAGCUGAGAAGAUGGCCAAGAUAUCCUUAUUGCUGGAUGGUAGCUCUGGUCGUAGUGGACCAUAUCUGCAAAUGCUUCUGAACAUUGACAGAAUUUCUAAAGAUGACUGAGAAUAUUACUGAAGGAUCCUACAUGGAAGCUGUCUGAUUACACUGAGUGAUUCCUCUGGUGUGGUGUACCUCCGAGAAAAUAAACACUGUUGUAAGA
Engraulis encrasicolus (European anchovy) is the source of this 350-nucleotide long non-coding RNA. RefSeq lists it as uncharacterized. NCBI's taxonomy places the organism in Eukaryota, Metazoa, Chordata, Actinopteri, Clupeiformes, Engraulidae. The record is from RefSeq and is a predicted model, not a curated record. The transcript is spliced from 3 exons.